Molecule: ribosomal RNA, 429 nt
Filed under: uncultured archaeon
Lineage: Archaea
Description: bacterial SSU rRNA
Rfam family: Archaeal small subunit ribosomal RNA
Source: RNAcentral
UUAAUACUGGAUAGAUCAAAGAUACUGGAAUGUUCUCUGGUUCAAAACUCUGGUGCCCAAGGAUGGGUCUGCGGCCUAUCAGGUAGUAGUGGGUGUAACGUACCUACUAGCCAGCGACGGGUAAGGGUUGUGAGAGCAAGAUCCCUGAGAUGGAUUCUGAGACAUGAAUCCAGGCCCUACGGGGUGCAGCAGGCGCGAAAACUUUACACUGCGGGAAACCGCGAUAAGGGGACCCCGAGUGCCAGCACCUAGUGCUGGCUGUCCAGCUGUCUAAAUAACAGCUGUUAGCAAGGGCCGGGCAAGACCGGUGCCAGCCGCCGCGGUAACACCGGCGGCCCGAGUGGUAACCGUUUUUAUUGGGUUUAAAGGGUCCGUAGCCGGCUUAUUAAGUCUCUUGGGAAAUCUGGCGGCUCAAUCGUCAGGCGUUCA